CAAGUGUAGAAGCAGACAAUUCAUUGAGGAAGAGAAGAAAGCAGAAGGCAGCACACUUCUUGAUUUCAAGCUUUACUAUAAGGUUAUAGUUAACAAAACUGAGGACCACAUUUUGAGAAAACACUCAGACAUUCAGAGAACCAAACCAAAAUUGCUACCUCCCCAAGUUGGGGAGGUAAGUGCAAUUUUAAGGAAGAUAAUUGAUGGAGCAGGUGUAAAUAAAAGAAAAAGCAAGGAUAACGCUGGAAGAAUUUUGUUUAAAGAGGGUCCUAAGGGUCUUGGGUGAAGCAGCUGGUGAUCACACCAAGGAGACACAGGAGCCACCAGCUUGGGCUGACAGGCACAAUAACCAUUUAUUCAAAGAUGCCAUCUAAUGCACUAUGCCACUAAGUACUGUGGCUGGACAGUGAUUUUAAGUGUAACAAAUUAUCUUCACUUUGAAAAGAGCUUAAGAGAGAGAAAACAAAUAUUACAUCUUAAACAGAGGCAUGAAUCAAACCAACUUAUGAACGGUGAAAGCAACUUAUCAAAAUGUCUUCGGACAUAUCAAGACUGACUUAAACCAGGUUCUGUGCCCUUUCUUUGUUGAGAAGAUAAACUGGAAAAUGCAAGCUAUUGUCCUUUGCC
Molecule: long non-coding RNA, 627 nt
Filed under: Homo sapiens (human)
Lineage: Eukaryota; Metazoa; Chordata; Mammalia; Primates; Hominidae
Description: HSALNT0257836
Source: RNAcentral